This 938-nucleotide ribosomal RNA is filed under the name uncultured bacterium. Its description in RNAcentral is "bacterial SSU rRNA". It matches the Rfam family "Bacterial small subunit ribosomal RNA", at positions 426 to 1378 of the family's 1533-position model. The record is from RNAcentral.
UAAACCGCUUUCAGUUCCGACGAAGGUAACUGACGGUAGGAACAGAAGAAGGACCGCCAACUACGUGCCAGCAGCCGCGGUGAUACGUAGGGUCCGAGCGUGUCCGGGAAUUAUUGGGCGUAAAGGGCUUGUAGGCGGUUUGUCGCGUCGGAAGUGAAAUCUCAGGGCUUAACCCUGAGCGUGCUUCCGAUACGGGCAAACUAGAGGGAUGCAGGGGAGAACGGAAUUCCUGGUGGAGCGGUGGAAUGCGCAGAUAUCAGGAGGAACACCGGUGGCGAAGGCGGUUCUCUGGGCAUUUCCUGACGCUGAGAAGCGAAAGCGUGGGGAGCAAACAGGCUUAGAUACCCUGGUAGUCCACGCCGUAAACGGUGGGCACUAGGUGUGGGGAACAUUCCACGUUCUCCGUGCCGCAGCUAACGCAUUAAGUGCCCCGCCUGGGGAGUACGGCCGCAAGGCUAAAACUCAAAGGAAUUGACGGGGGCCCGCACAAGCGGCGGAGCAUGCGGAUUAAUUCGAUGCAACGCGAAGAACCUUACCUGGGUUUGACAUAUACCGGAAAGCUGCAGAGAUGUAGCCCCCGCAAGGUCGGUAUACAGGUGGUGCAUGGCUGUCGUCAGCUCGUGUCGUGAGAUGUUGGGUUAAGUCCCGCAACGAGCGCAACCCUCGUCCUAUGUUGCCAGCGGAUAAUGCCGGGGACUCAUAGGAGACUGCCGGGGUCAACUCGGAGGAAGGUGGGGAUGACGUCAAGUCAUCAUGCCCCUUAAGUCCAGGGCUUCACGCAUGCUACAAUGGCUGGUACAAAGGGCUGCAAUACCGCAAGGUCGAGCGAAUCCCAAAAAGCCAGUCUCAGUUCGGAUUGGGGUCUGCAACUCGACCCCAUGAAGUCGGAGUCGCUAGUAAUCGCAGAUCAGCAACGCCGCGGUGAAUACGUUCCCGGG